Molecule: small nuclear RNA, 297 nt
Filed under: Castor canadensis (American beaver)
Lineage: Eukaryota; Metazoa; Chordata; Mammalia; Rodentia; Castoridae
Description: 7SK RNA (ENSCCNG00000028620.1)
Rfam family: 7SK RNA
About the family: 7SK was discovered as an abundant small nuclear RNA in the mid-70s but a possible function has only recently been suggested. Two independent studies have found that 7SK RNA binds the CDK9/cyclin T complex (known as elongation factor P-TEFb).
Source: Rfam by way of RNAcentral
GGUUGUAAGGGGAUCUGGCUGUGACAUCAGUCACCCCACUGAUUGCCAGGGUUGAUUCCGUUGAUCUGGCUGGCUAGGCUGGUAUCCUCUUCUCCCUCUUUGCUCCAUGUGGGUUCCCCCAAGGCUGUGCACUCUGUAGAAGAGGACGACCUUUCCCGAUACAGAAGUACCAUUCUUCUGUCGAGGGUAUAGAAGUAGCUGUGCUCCCUGCUAGAACCUUCAAACAAGCCUUCAAUAUAUAUAUAGGUACAGGAGGAAGACAGAAUUUAAAUAUAUAUCUACAAUCAAAUUCAAGUU